This is a non-coding RNA of Pelobates cultripes (western spadefoot toad), 234 nucleotides long. Lineage: Eukaryota; Metazoa; Chordata; Amphibia; Anura; Pelobatidae. The record is from the annotation of a GenBank genome assembly.
GGCAAAAUUAUAUUUUCAUCCCGAGAAUUUAUGCCCCUAUUUAUACAUGACAAAACCUUACUGGCCUUAGCAACUGCAGAUUGACAUUGCAUAUUGCUGCCUAAUUUGUUAUCUAUAACAAUUCCCAAAUCCUUCUUGUGUGUGGUUAUCCCUAAUUUACUACCAUUUAGUGUGUAAGUUGCUUGUGCAUUCUUAACCCCGAAGUGCAUAACUUUGCAUUUAUCUACGUUAAAU